UACGAAGGUCCCAAGCGUUAUCCGGAUUUAUUGGGUUUAAAGGGUGCGUAGGCGGACUAUUAAGUCAGUGGUGAAAGCCCCAAGCCUAACUUGGGAACUGCCAUUGAUACUGAUGGUCUUGAGUACAUUUGAGGUGGGCGGAAUGUGUCAUGUAGCGGUGAAAUGCUUAGAUAUGACAACAGAACACCGAUUGCGAAGGCAGCUCACUAAACUGUAACUGACGCUGAGGCAACGAAAGCGUGGGGAGCAAACAGG
This 255-nucleotide ribosomal RNA is filed under the name uncultured bacterium. RNAcentral's name for it is "partial 16S ribosomal RNA". It matches the Rfam family "Bacterial small subunit ribosomal RNA", at positions 524 to 776 of the family's 1533-position model. The record is from RNAcentral.